GCCUGGGUGGCUCAGUCGGUUAAGCGUCUGACUUCAGCUCAGGUCAUGAUCUCACAGUUUGUGAGUUCAAGCCCGCAUCAGGCU
Molecule: transfer RNA, 84 nt
Filed under: Felis catus (domestic cat)
Lineage: Eukaryota; Metazoa; Chordata; Mammalia; Carnivora; Felidae
Rfam family: tRNA
About the family: Transfer RNA (tRNA) molecules are approximately 80 nucleotides in length.
Source: Rfam by way of RNAcentral